AGAGUUUGAUCAUGGCUCAGAUUGAACGCUGGCGGCAUGCCUUACACAUGCAAGUCGAACGUGAAAGGGGGCAACCCCGAGUAGAGUGGCGAACGGGUGAGUAAUACAUCGGAACAUUUCCUGUAGCGGGGGACAACCUCGAGAAAUCGAGGCUAAUACCGCAUACGAUCUUCGGAUGAAAGUGGGGGACCGCAAGGCCUCACACUAUAGGAGUGGCCGGUGUCGGAUUAGCUAGUUGGCGGGGUAAAAGCCCACCAAGGCGACGAUCCGUAGCUGGUCUGAGAGGACGACCAGCCACACUGGGACUGAGACACGGCCCAGACUCCUACGGGAGGCAGCAGUGGGGAAUUUUGGACAAUGGGCGCAAGCCUGAUCCAGCCAUGCCGCGUGAGUGAAGAAGGCCUUCGGGUUGUAAAGCUCUUUCGGCCGGGACGAAAUCGCGCGGGCGAAUAUCCCGCGUGGAUGACGGUACCGGAAGAAGAAGGACCGGCUAACUACGUGCCAGCAGCCGCGGUAAUACGUAGGGUCCGAGCGUUAAUCGGAAUUACUGGGCGUAAAGCGUGCGCAGGCGGUUCGCAAAGACAGGUGUGAAAUCCCCGGGCUUAACCUGGGAACUGCGCUUGUAACUAGCGGGCUAGAGUGCGGCAGAGGGGGGUGGAAUUCCACGUGUAGCAGUGAAAUGCGUAGAGAUGUGGAGGAACACCGAUGGCGAAGGCAGCCCCCUGGGUUAGCACUGACGCUCAUGCACAAAAGCGUGGGGAGCAAACAGGAUUAGAUACCCCGGUAGUCC
This 790-nucleotide ribosomal RNA is filed under the name uncultured bacterium. RNAcentral describes it as "bacterial SSU rRNA". It matches the Rfam family "Bacterial small subunit ribosomal RNA", at positions 8 to 796 of the family's 1533-position model. The record is from RNAcentral.